GACGAACGCUGGCGGCGUGCUUAACACAUGCAAGUCGAACGGAAAGGCCCUGCUUUUGUGGGGUGCUCGAGUGGCGAACGGGUGAGUAACACGUGAGUAACCUGCCCUUGACUUUGGGAUAACUUCAGGAAACUGGGGCUAAUACCGGAUAGGAGCUCCUGCUGCAUGGUGGGGGUUCGAAAGUUUCGGCGGUUGGGGAUGGACUCGGGGCUUAUCAGCUUGUUGGUGGGGUAGUGGCUUACCAAGGCUUUGACGGGUAGCCGGCCUGAGAGGGUGACCGGCCACAUUGGGACUGAGAUACGGCCCAGACUCCUACGGGAGGCAGCAGUGGGGAAUAUUGCACAAUGGGCGGAAGCCUGAUGCAGCAACGCCGCGUGCGGGAUGACGGCCUUCGGGUUGUAAACCGCUUUCGCCUGUGACGAAGCGUGAGUGACGGUAAUGGGUAAAGAAGCACCGGCUAACUACGUG
RNAcentral lists this ribosomal RNA (468 nucleotides) under uncultured bacterium. RNAcentral describes it as "partial 16S ribosomal RNA". It matches the Rfam family "Bacterial small subunit ribosomal RNA", at positions 28 to 507 of the family's 1533-position model. The record is from RNAcentral.